Molecule: ribosomal RNA, 301 nt
Filed under: uncultured bacterium
Lineage: Bacteria
Description: partial 16S ribosomal RNA
Rfam family: Bacterial small subunit ribosomal RNA
Source: RNAcentral
CAGUCGCCACGGUAAAACGUAGGGCGCAAGCGUUGUCCGGAAUUAUUGGGCGUAAAGAGCUCGUAGGCGGUCUGUCGCGUCUGGUGUGAAAUCCCGAGGCUCAACCUCGGGCUUGCAUCGGGUACGGGCAGACUAGAGUGCGGUAGGGGAGACUGGAAUUCCUGGUGUAGCGGUGGAAUGCGCAGAUAUCAGGAGGAACACCGAUGGCGAAGGCAGGUCUCUGGGCCGCAACUGACGCUGAGGAGCGAAAGCAUGGGGAGCGAACAGGAUUAGAUACCCCCGUAGUCCCUGUCUCUUAUAA